This 327-nucleotide ribosomal RNA is filed under the name uncultured eukaryote. RNAcentral describes it as "partial 18S ribosomal RNA". It matches the Rfam family "Eukaryotic small subunit ribosomal RNA", at positions 1470 to 1796 of the family's 1831-position model. The record is from RNAcentral.
CCCUUAGAUGUUCUGGGCCGCACGCGCGCUACACUGACGAAUGCAACGAGCUUAUAACCUUGGCCGAAAGGUCUGGGUAAUCUCCAAAUUUCGUCGUGAUGGGGAUAGAUUAUUGCAAUUAUUAAUCUUCAACGAGGAAUGCCUAGUAAGCGCAAGUCAUCAGCUUGCGUUGAUUACGUCCCUGCCCUUUGUACACACCGCUCGUCGCUCCUACCGAUUGAAUGGUCCGGUGAAGCGUUCGGACCGUGGCCUUUGGACGGUUCGCCGUCUGUUGGCUGCGGGAAGUUCGUUAAACCUUAUCAUUUAGAGGAAGGAGAAGUCGUAACA